Molecule: ribosomal RNA, 495 nt
Filed under: uncultured bacterium
Lineage: Bacteria
Description: partial 16S ribosomal RNA
Rfam family: Bacterial small subunit ribosomal RNA
Source: RNAcentral
GACGAACGCUGGCGGCGUGCCUAAUACAUGCAAGUAGAACGCUGAAGGAGGAGCUUGCUUCUCUGGAUGAGUUGCGAACGGGUGAGUAACGCGUAGGUAACCUGCCUGGUAGCGGGGGAUAACUAUUGGAAACGAUAGCUAAUACCGCAUAAGAUUGACUAUUGCAUGAUAGUCAGUUAAAGGGUGCAAUUGCAUCACUACCAGAUGGACCUGCGUUGUAUUAGCUAGUUGGUGGGGUAACGGCUCACCAAGGCGACGAUACAUAGCCGACCUGAGAGGGUGAUCGGCCACACUGGGACUGAGACACGGCCCAGACUCCUACGGGAGGCAGCAGUAGGGAAUCUUCGGCAAUGGACGGAAGUCUGACCGAGCAACGCCGCGUGAGUGAAGAAGGUUUUCGGAUCGUAAAGCUCUGUUGUAAGAGAAGAACGAGUGUGAGAGUGGAAAGUUCACACUGUGACGGUAUCUUACCAGAAAGGGACGGCUAACUACGUG